CUUGGUGCUUGCACCGAGCGGAGGAGUUGCGAACGGGUGAGUAACGCGUAGGUAACCUGCCUCUUAGCGGGGGAUAACUAUUGGAAACGAUAGCUAAUACCGCAUAAAAGUCGACAUUGCAUGAUGUUGACUUGAAAGGUGCAACUGCAUCACUAAGAGAUGGACCUGCGUUGUAUUAGCUAGUUGGUGAGGUAACGGCUCACCAAGGCGACGAUACAUAGCCGACCUGAGAGGGUGAUCGGCCACACUGGGACUGAGACACGGCCCAGACUCCUACGGGAGGCAGCAGUAGGGAAUCUUCGGCAAUGGACGGAAGUCUGACCGAGCAACGCCGCGUGAGUGAAGAAGGUUUUCGGAUCGUAAAGCUCUGUUGUAAGAGAAGAACGAGUGUGAGAGUGGAAAGUUCACACUGUGACGGUAACUUACCAGAAAGGGACGGCUAACUACGUGCCAGCAGCCGCGGUAAUACGUAGGUCCCGAGCGUUAUCCGGAUUUAUUGGGCGUAAAGCGAGCGCAGGCGGUUAGAUAAGUCUGAAGUUAAAGGCUGUGGCUUAACCAUAGUACGCUUUGGAAACUGUUUAACUUGAGUGCAGAAGGGGAGAGUGGAAUUCCAUGUGUAGCGGUGAAAUGCGUAGAUAUAUGGAGGAACACCGGUGGCGAAAGCGGCUCU
Molecule: ribosomal RNA, 670 nt
Filed under: uncultured Bacilli bacterium
Lineage: Bacteria; Bacillati; Bacillota; Bacilli
Description: bacterial SSU rRNA
Rfam family: Bacterial small subunit ribosomal RNA
Source: RNAcentral